This 1235-nucleotide unclassified non-coding RNA is filed under the name Hevea brasiliensis (rubber tree). The record is from RNAcentral. Lineage: Eukaryota; Viridiplantae; Streptophyta; Magnoliopsida; Malpighiales; Euphorbiaceae.
AAAACAUCUCCCUCAAUCUGAAAAUAUCAACACAUUUCACAAGCACAAGGAUAUAUAAAUAAAACAGUUCACACGGAAAUAUAACUAAAAUUGUUUUCCCAGUGAAAAAUAAAUACAUUAUCAUGAAGCUUGAACAAAGAAAGAGAGUGUUAGCCAAAAUCAGUGGCUGUUAAUCUACCCUCCACAUGUAUACCUUUUUCAGUAAUUGCCAUUAAUGCCCAAAAUAAGAAACCAAAGAAUUAAUUUUCCAUCUACUAAUGUCACUCAAGAUGCAAAAUUUAGGAAAAUGAUUUUGAACACUUAAGACACUUGCAAGAAAACCACUUAAAACACACUUUGAGCAAAUAUGAUGGGAAUAAUUAUUUCCAUCUCCCAUUGGACAAGAAACAAAUAUCAUAUAAAGAUCUACUCCAGUAUAUAACCAACCGACUAGUGAAGAAAAUUAACAGCCAAGAGAUUGAUAAACCAUUGCAACAACCAUAUUUUGAAGAUGUAAACCAGUCUUUUAGUUCCUUUCCCAUAAUUGGAAUACAGAACCCCAUCAGAAAAUUCAAUUUAAGAAAACUCACCAUGUUUCCCUUAGAUUAACUUGCAAGCCCUACUAUUAUACAUUAAGCAUUUUUUGCCAAACAAAGUGUAAUGUAAUGUAAACAGCAUCACUUUGCAGUGCACAAUGCAAUAUUUAAUUUUUGCAACUUACACUGGGGAAAAAUCGUAACAAUUCAGCAAAACAUUCAAAAAUACCUGCUCUAUGAUCGCAAUACUGAAUUUAAACAAUCCCUGGAAUCCAAAAACUAAAAACCACAAAUACAAUUCUGAUAAACUGAAAUAUUUAGCACAUGACAUAUAAAUCACAACAGGUAGAAAUCAAUAGUAACACAUGCAAUUAUGUUCCAAAAGAAAGGUUCAAAUCCCAAUUGCACCCUUUCACUAGCGAUACCUAAGGUUCAAACACCAAUUCAAUAACCAAUACCCAAUUUAUUUAUGAACAUACACAAAAAUGCAGUCAUUAAGCAUGCAAAAUUCCUAGCUUUUAAUGCUUAACAUUAUUCUACAGAACCAAUCGCCUAAUUCAAAAAUUCCAAGUUAGUAGUUCACAUUGCACAGAACAUAAUCUGAAUUUAAACACCAAACUUACUAGGAUUGUGAAAGCAACUUAUUUAAUGAAACCAAAAAACUAAUUCAACAACCCCAAUAAAUUCAACAUUUUCCUUACCUCGACCAUCUCCUCCGUU